AAUAAUACAACAACCUUUAUUAGAUCAUACUGUGAAAAAGUUAGCAAAAAAAAAGUGAUGGGUUAUUACUAUGUUCUUUUAAUCGUAACAUCACUUAGACUAGACAAAUUUGAUUAAUAUUUAGACAAGUAACAUUUUUUACUUAUACAGACAAGACUCUCAGGUUACGGUCAUUGUCAUUUUAUUAAUCGCGGUUAGUCCCAUUUACCAUUAAACCAAUCAAUCAAGUCCCAAUAAGUCAGUGAUCCCAAUUAAAGAAAAAAAAAAAAACAAUAAUUAUCGUACAUUUACGAUAAUUUCAUGCCUACGUACGAUAUACGAUCGUACCCUAGUAUCGUACGCAAUUUGCACGAUAAUUCUGUCUGUCCUACCGAAUAUAACAUAAAAUAGAAUGUAUUGUAUGAUUAUUUGAAGCAACGACCUUUUUUUGGCCAACUGAAAUUUGAAAACAGUUGUUUAGUAAAUUUACUUAAAAACUUGAAUUAAAAAAAAUUUGAUUUACGAUAAUUGUUCCGAAAACGAAAAUUUCACGGCACGUGUCAAUCAGACGGGUAAAAGUUUCUUGGAAUACCUGUAUAAUUUUAUAUACUUUUUGUCUGGGAUCACUGCAUUGAGUGUUGAUAGUGACCGGCGACUGCGAAAGUUUAAAACCUUACAUUUAGACAAUUAUCUCUUAUUAACUAUAAUAUUAGUGACAUUCUGUAAAAUCAAGCAGUCUUGUUAUGGUUAUUUAAGCAAUAUCGGUUACAAAGUUCAAUCUAAUCCAAUUUAUACAUAAAUAUUAUAUGUUAGAAAUAAAAUUAUUAUUGAUGUUGACUACUUCCCUCACUGAGUCCUAGUUUAAAGUUUUGGCAAUCUGUUUAUAUUUAUAGCUACUUUUAUGAAUUGUUUUUAACGCUCAGUUCAAAUUCACUAGUUAAAGUAAGCCUAUCAGAGAGAUGUUCAAUUUACUUACUAAGUACGAUUUAAUUGGGCUAGGAGCGUAGCUAAAUGGGCUAAACUAAGUGGCAGCGACGAAUUACUAUUUUCUUCAUGUAAAUAUACUAUAAAUUACCUAUUGUAAGUAUUAUAGUUCGCGUCAUGUAAAAAUAACGCUGGCCUUGAAACUGCGCAGAAGCGAUUUAUCGGUCUAUUUGGUGGUAUGGGGUAGGGGACGGGAGUGUUUAUCACGUAUCGCAUGCUUGCCGGUGUGCUAUUGGUUAGACAGUUCGACGUCGACUCAAAAUAUUAUCGCGCACAAAAGUUUUAAAUUACGAAAUAGUUUUACAUAGAGAAGUGAGAAAAAUUAUUUAUAAUAUAUAAUUCGCGUCAUGUAAAAAGAACGCUGGUUGUCAAAAUGCGCAAAGGCGAUUUACAGUGUUGCCAACUCUUGAAAAAACUUUUUCGUACUGUCCAUUUUUUGGAACAGUCUUAUUUGUUAAACAAUCCACUGUCAAUCGUAAUUCACGUUUUUUCCGCAUUUAUCACUCACUUUCACAACACAUUAGCAUACGGACACUUGUAAAACUCCAUUUACUAUUUAUUUCACAAAAAAAAAUAUAUCAAUUUAUCAUUUUAAACAGAUAAAAACUAUUUAGAUACUAACAUCGAGAGUUCAGAUAAUUAAUAUUUUUGAAUAAGACAUUUCAAUAACUAAAAAAUUUGUUAUUGCUUUUGUUUAAAUUUUUUUUUUUUUUUUGUAAUUUUGUAAAGUGAUAAUUAUUAUACUUAUUUAGUCCGAAUUAUUCGCACUGGUAUUU
RNAcentral lists this unclassified non-coding RNA (1739 nucleotides) under Melitaea cinxia (Glanville fritillary). RNAcentral describes it as "misc RNA ENSMCXG00005001337.1". The record is from RNAcentral. Lineage: Eukaryota; Metazoa; Arthropoda; Insecta; Lepidoptera; Nymphalidae.